GAGCAUUUCCAUUUGGUUAGCACAUUAGCGUAAUGAUAGGGAGGGGAAACUCAGGCAGUUGUCCUACCUGAUGCAGUUCCAACAGCAUAUAAAACAUCUUUGAGGAUAAAACUUUUUUUUGGAAGAUAGCUUUUAAUUUCUUCAUAUUUCUCAGGCCAUUACUAUCAUUUAAUUAAAUAAAUUCUGUCCACCCUUCAGCAUUUACUUCUGAGGCCACCAAAGCCCAGGCUCUCAUUCCCUCCUUAUUACAUUGGCUCUGACUUGUGUCUGUGCCCUCCCCUUAAACCUUCAUCAGAUGCACCCUGCUCCUCCUGCCAUACCAGUUCUUCUACACAGCUCUGAGCAUGGCUGACUGGAUAACUAAAACUAAAUGUUUUUUAGAGACAGGGUCUUGCUCUGUUGCCCAGGCUGGUCUUGAACUCCUGGCCUCAAGUGAUCCUUCUGCCUUGGCCUCCCAGAGUGCUGGGAUUGCAGGCGUGUGCCUGGCCUUGCCUCCUGUCUUUAUUGUUAACACCCCAUUGACAACAAGAUAUAAAUUGAUUACAAUGUGAAAUUGUAAAUCUUUUAAUACAGAAGUUUAUGAAGUGAAUUAAAGUGAUGUUGGAGAAACAGCAAAGCCAUGUCUGCCACAAUACACUGGUUUUCAAUUUCUUCUCCAUUUCUUAAUCUGAAUCCAUGAUAGAUGCUUCAGGGGGAAUGAUUUGAAUAUCAAAACACUAAAAAAAAAUCAGUGAAGUCUCAUUUCUUUUCAAAAAUGACCAUUUUUGGAUGCUGCUACAAAAAUUAAAUACAAAGCAAGGAUAUAGCAUAUUAUUAUGUUUUUCUAUUAUUUGAUAGAAAAAUCAUGAGUCUUCUUCC
Molecule: long non-coding RNA, 858 nt
Filed under: Homo sapiens (human)
Lineage: Eukaryota; Metazoa; Chordata; Mammalia; Primates; Hominidae
Description: non-protein coding lnc-RIPPLY3-6:1
Source: RNAcentral